ACGAGUUCACUUGGGGAUUGAUGCUGGCCGUCCGCGGCACGUGCUCGUCCCCUCAUCCACUCACAACCCCUGUGCAUUAUGAGAGGCGUCGGUCCCUCCGGCCUCACCGCCGGUGGUCGAGCCGGGACCACGCUUCGAACCCCUUCACACACAAACGUUAACAAGUAUUGUAGAAUGUCAUGACCAGAAACGGUCGAACCUAAAUA
RNAcentral lists this unclassified non-coding RNA (206 nucleotides) under uncultured Agaricomycetes. RNAcentral describes it as "sequence contains ITS1". The record is from RNAcentral. Lineage: Eukaryota; Fungi; Basidiomycota; Agaricomycetes.